UUGAACGCUGGCGGCAGGCCUAACACAUGCAAGUCGAGCGGAUGAAGGGAGCUUGCUCCUGGAUUCAGCGGCGGACGGGUGAGUAAUGCCUAGGAAUCUGCCUGGUAGUGGGGGAUAACGUCCGGAAACGGGCGCUAAUACCGCAUACGUCCUGAGGGAGAAAGUGGGGGAUCUUCGGACCUCACGCUAUCAGAUGAGCCUAGGUCGGAUUAGCUAGUUGGUGGGGUAAAGGCCUACCAAGGCGACGAUCCGUAACUGGUCUGAGAGGAUGAUCAGUCACACGGGAACUGGGACACGGUCCAGACUCCUACGGGAGGCAGCAGUGGGGAAUAUUGGACAAUGGGCGAAAGCCUGAUCCAGCCAUGCCGCGUGUGUGAAGAAGGUCUUCGGAUUGUAAAGCACUUUAAGUUGGGAGGAAGGGCAGUAAGUUAAUACCUUGCUGUUUUGACGUUACCAACAGAAUAAGCACCGGCUAACUUCGUG
Molecule: ribosomal RNA, 483 nt
Filed under: uncultured bacterium
Lineage: Bacteria
Description: partial 16S ribosomal RNA
Rfam family: Bacterial small subunit ribosomal RNA
Source: RNAcentral